Molecule: long non-coding RNA, 1035 nt
Filed under: Anas platyrhynchos platyrhynchos (common mallard)
Lineage: Eukaryota; Metazoa; Chordata; Aves; Anseriformes; Anatidae
Description: lncRNA (ENSAPLG00000022414.1)
Source: RNAcentral
AUGACAGCUCUAGCUAACCCAGCAUAUCAUUCCCUUUUUUCCCAGACUUCUUUGAGGCCUUCCUCAGCAGGCAGUGCAGGAUGCUGCCAGCCACAUCCCCAUAUUAGCACAAGAAGAUACUCCAAAAAGUACUUCACAAACAGGAAUGAUGUGCAGAGUUCCUUGUGCUCCAGACAUAGCCUGGGGUCAGAUCCAUGGCUACAGUACUGGAUCUCAUCUCAAGAGCAACUCAGGUAUGCUCCACCUAAACAGAGCAUGGAGAGCUCUUGUCAUUUUGGAAACUGCACACCAGACUGUGGUACAGAAGGACCACACCUUUGUCUCUUCUACAGGAAGAACAAAGUUUUAAAAAGCCUAGAGUUAUUCUGCUACUGCUGAUUAUCUGGGAAGGAAUCAAGACUGAUAUCUCCAUCCAUUCAUAGAAGAGUACCACCAAAAUCAGAAUGGUGAAGCCAUUGUUUGCUGUAGAAAACUAGCAGAGCUAUCUGCAAAAAGCUUAAUGACUUACAGCUGGAUGGCUCAGUAAAGUCCUAAUAAUUUCCUGUAAAAUGUAUAGCGUUUAUAAAAAGGAGCUGAAGGAAGGAAAAUGAUGUCCAAAUAAUUCCUAACUUUUCAUUGACACAAAGGAUUUCCUGAGCUGUCAGCACAUUCUUCUGAUCUGUGUCCUUUUCUGCAGUUAGGAAGUCCAGGGUGCCAUUGGCAUCCCUACUCUUUUGAGUGAAGAAAGAAAGGAGAAUAUAGUUUCUGUGCAAAGAAUUCAGCAUCUCUUUUUGAUGUAGUGAAAUUUUUUGAAGUAUCUUAGGAGAGUGUGUUUGAAGCAAGGGGUCUUUGCAACUGGACUACUACAAGCACAUUAUCCCACACUGGUAUAAUGUGAAGUAGUAGAGAUGCUCCCCUUAGUUGCGUAGGAUCACCCCAGAUCCAUAAUCAGAAACGGGAAAUCAUAAUCAAGGAAAGGCCUAAAAAAAGCCUAAGAAAAGGCCACUUUCCAUGAUCUUCUUCUAUAUUAAAUAAAUUUAUUUUGGAAUAAAAACA